Molecule: ribosomal RNA, 497 nt
Filed under: uncultured bacterium
Lineage: Bacteria
Description: partial 16S ribosomal RNA
Rfam family: Bacterial small subunit ribosomal RNA
Source: RNAcentral
GAUGAACGCUGGCGGCGUGCCUAAUACAUGCAAGUCGAGCGAACGGACGAGAAGCUUGCUUUUCUGAUGUUAGCGGCGGACGGGUGAGUAACACGUGGAUAACCUACCUAUAAGACUGGGAUAACUUCGGGAAACCGGAGCUAAUACCGGAUAAUAUUUUGAACCGCAUGGUUCAAAAGUGAAAGACGGUCUUGCUGUCACUUAUAGAUGGAUCCGCGCUGCAUUAGCUAGUUGGUAAGGUAACGGCUUACCAAGGCAACGAUGCAUAGCCGACCUGAGAGGGUGAUCGGCCACACUGGAACUGAGACACGGUCCAGACUCCUACGGGAGGCAGCAGUAGGGAAUCUUCCGCAAUGGGCGAAAGCCUGACGGAGCAACGCCGCGUGAGUGAUCAAGGUCUUCGGAUCGUAAAACUCUGUUAUUAGGGAAGAACAUAUGUGUAAGUAACUGUGCACAUCUUGACGGUACCUAAUCAGAAAGCCACGGCUAACUACGUG